Pteropus alecto (black flying fox) is the source of this 739-nucleotide long non-coding RNA. RefSeq lists it as uncharacterized. The record is from RefSeq and is a predicted model, not a curated record. Lineage: Eukaryota; Metazoa; Chordata; Mammalia; Chiroptera; Pteropodidae. The transcript is spliced from 3 exons.
GUUUGUGCAUCGCCCACAAAGAAACCCGCUGCCAGAGUCUCAAUGUCAGAUUACAGAAGCAUACGCCAACCUACGGAGAUUACGGGAUUUUCUGAAGUUCACUCAGAGGGGAGCUGGACCCCACCACGCCCAACGUCCGGGCCACUGCUUGUCGGUCACAGAACUCUCCUUCCAAAAAAGGAGGCCUUACAUUCUCCUCCCCCAGGUUCCUGCGUGGCAGCUUGUCUCUUUGGCUAAUCAACAGGAAAUUGGAAAGUAGAGCAUCUAAACUUAAAGCUUCAUCUGCCAGGAGUCUGGGAUUCUGUGCACAAGAUGAGGUGGCCGGUGAGGAGAUGAGACUGGACCCCGGGAGGGCCAGGCGGGAGAUGGGCUCAGAGACUCCAUGUGUGGGGAGGCUGGGGCUCCAUUUCGUCAUUUGGAAUGUUCUUAAGAGGGUGGAUCACUUUGAGGUUCCCAGGGGUGUGUUUCACUGGAGAUGCAGAGUGAAGGUGAAAUACAAUCUCUGCCCGUCGGUGCCGGCGCAGGGUGGGAGCGGUACAGUGACUUUACGGCAAAGGUGGUGAAAAGAGCACAGAGACAGAGGCCAGCUGUGCGACGCGGGAAAAUCAUCCCCUCUCUGGACCUCAGUUUCCUCACCUCUUAAAAGGAGCAAGUUGCACUGACUUUUGUGUUCCGAUGUUUAUCACAUUUGUUAAUUAGUUCAUGGUUUCUCUUCUUAAGUUUUCAACACGUGACUAGA